AUGCUGGAGGUAUCAGAAGUGCGAAUGCUGACAUAAGUAACGAUAAAGCGGGUGAAAAGCCCGCUCGCCGGAAGACCAAGGGUUCCUGUCCAACGUUAAUCGGGGCAGGGUGAGUCGACCCCUAAGGCGAGGCCGAAAGGCGUAGUCGAUGGGAAACAGGUUAAUAUUCCUGUACUUGGUGUUACUGCGAAGGGGGGACGGAGAAGGCUAUGUUGGCCGGGCGACGGUUGUCCCGGUUUAAGCGUGUAGGCUGGUUUUCCAGGCAAAUCCGGAAAAUCAAGGCUGAGGCGUGAUGACGAGGCACUACGGUGCUGAAGCAACAAAUGCCCUGCUUCCAGGAAAAGCCUCUAAGCAUCAGGUAACAUCAAAUCGUACCCCAAACCGACACAGGUGGUCAGGUAGAGAAUACCAAGGCGCUUGAGAGAACUCGGGUGAAGGAACUAGGCAAAAUGGUGCCGUAACUUCGGGAGAAGGCACGCUGAUAUGUAGGUGAAGUGAUUUACUCAUGGAGCUGAAAUCAGUCGAAGAUACCAGCUGGCUGCAACUGUUUAUUAAAAACACAGCACUGUGCAAACACGAAAGUGGACGUAUACGGUGUGACGCCUGCCCGGUGCCGGAAGGUUAAUUGAUGGGGUCAGCGCAAGCGAAGCUCUUGAUCGAAGCCCCGGUAAACGGCGGCCGUAACUAUAACGGUCCUAAGGUAGCGAAAUUCCUUGUCGGGUAAGUUCCGACCUGCACGAAUGGCGUAAUGAUGGCCAGGCUGUCUCCACCCGAGACUCAGUGAAAUUGAACUCGCUGUGAAGAUGCAGUGUACCCGCGGCAAGACGGAAAGACCCCGUGAACCUUUACUAUAGCUUGACACUGAACAUUGAGCCUUGAUGUGUAGGAUAGGUGGGAGGCUUUGAAGUGUGGACGCCAGUCUGCAUGGAGCCGACCUUGAAAUACCACCCUUUAAUGUUUGAUGUUCUAACGUGGACCCGUAAUCCGGGUUGCGGACAGUGUCUGGUGGGUAGUUUGACUGGGGCGGUCUCCUCCUAAAGAGUAACGGAGGAGCACGAAGGUUGGCUAAUCCUGGUCGGACAUCAGGAGGUUAGUGCAAUGGCAUAAGCCAGCUUGACUGCGAGCGUGACGGCGCGAGCAGGUGCGAAAGCAGGUCAUAGUGAUCCGGUGGUUCUGAAUGGAAGGGCCAUCGCUCAACGGAUAAAAGGUACUCCGGGGAUAACAGGCUGAUACCGCCCAAGAGUUCAUAUCGACGGCGGUGUUUGGCACCUCGAUGUCGGCUCAUCACAUCCUGGGGCUGAAGUAGGUCCCAAGGGUAUGGCUGUUCGCCAUUUAAAGUGGUACGCGAGCUGGGUUUAGAACGUCGUGAGACAGUUCGGUCCCUAUCUGCCGUGGGCGCUGGAGAACUGAGGGGGGCUGCUCCUAGUACGAGAGGACCGGAGUGGACGCAUCACUGGUGUUCGGGUUGUCAUGCCAAUGGCACUGCCCGGUAGCUAAAUGCGGAAGAGAUAAGUGCUGAAAGCAUCUAAGCACGAAACUUGCCCCGAGAUGAGUUCUCCCUGAC
This 1564-nucleotide ribosomal RNA is filed under the name Escherichia coli. Its description in RNAcentral is "bacterial LSU rRNA". It matches the Rfam family "Bacterial large subunit ribosomal RNA", at positions 1270 to 2819 of the family's 2925-position model. Lineage: Bacteria; Pseudomonadati; Pseudomonadota; Gammaproteobacteria; Enterobacterales; Enterobacteriaceae. The record is from RNAcentral.